CGGAGGCAGCAGUGGGGAAUAUUGCACAAUGGGCGGAAGCCUGAUGCAGCGACGCCGCGUGAGGGAUGACGGCCUUCGGGUUGUAAACCUCUUUCAGCAGGGACGAAGCGCAAGUGACGGUACCUGCAGAAGAAGCACCGGCCAACUACGUGCCAGCAGCCGCGGUAAGACGUAGGGUGCGAGCGUUGUCCGGAUUUAUUGGGCGUAAAGAGCUCGUAGGCGGCUUGUCGCGUCGACCGUGAAAACUUGGGGCUCAACCCCAAGCCUGCGGUCGAUACGGGCAGGCUAGAGUUCGGUAGGGGAGACUGGAAUUCCUGGUGUAGCGGUGAAAUGCGCAGAUAUCAGGAGGAACACCGGUGGCGAAGGCGGGUCUCUGGGCCGAUACUGACGCUGAGGAGCGAAAGCGUGGGGAGCGAACAGGAUUAGAUACCCUAGUAGUCU
This 441-nucleotide ribosomal RNA is filed under the name uncultured bacterium. RNAcentral describes it as "bacterial SSU rRNA". It matches the Rfam family "Bacterial small subunit ribosomal RNA", at positions 343 to 796 of the family's 1533-position model. The record is from RNAcentral.